Cavia aperea (Brazilian guinea pig) is the source of this 130-nucleotide small nucleolar RNA. Its record names the gene SNORA71. It matches the Rfam family "Small nucleolar RNA SNORA71". Rfam says of the family: The members of this family belong to the H/ACA class of snoRNAs which bind a number of proteins (including dyskerin, Gar1p and Nop10p) to form snoRNP complexes. The record is from Ensembl. Lineage: Eukaryota; Metazoa; Chordata; Mammalia; Rodentia; Caviidae.
GCCUGCCUUUAAAAUAAUCGUGGGAUGCCUGUGCCCGGUCACUGACAGGGCAGGGAGAGAAACCUGGAAGAGGUUUUCCCUGUGUUUAGAGGGUUUGCCUGGCCUAUCUGAGCCCUGGAGCUUUCCUAUA